ACCGCCUGUCCCAGACCCUCGUCGUCCCGGCGCCCCCCGGAUGCCCUUGGCUGGGUGUCCGGUUCGGGGUCCGGAGCGUUUACUUUGAAAAAAUUAGAGUGUUCAAAGCGGGCCGCCUCACCGCCUGAAUACCUGAGCUAGGAAUAAUGGAAUAGGACUCCGGUUCUAUUUUGUGGGUUUCCUGAACCAGGGGCCAUGAUUAAGAGGGACGCGCGGGGGCAUUCGUAU
Molecule: ribosomal RNA, 228 nt
Filed under: Distichodus sp.
Lineage: Eukaryota; Metazoa; Chordata; Actinopteri; Characiformes; Distichodontidae
Description: partial 18S ribosomal RNA
Rfam family: Eukaryotic small subunit ribosomal RNA (bases 63-228)
Source: RNAcentral